AUGGCGGAAAGAGUGACGAAGCUGGCGUCGCAGCGGGCGGUGGUGAUCUUCGGGGUGAGCAACUGCUGCAUGUGCCACGCGGUGAAGACGCUCUUCACGGAGCUGGGCGUGAGCUGGGUGGUGCACGAGCUGGACAAGGACCCCCGCGGGAAGGACGUCGAGAGGGCGCUCGCCGGCAUGGUCGGACGGAGCCCGCCCGUGCCUGCGGUCUUCAUCGGCGGCAGGCUCGUCGGCCCCACCGACAAGGUCAUGACGCUGCACCUCAGUGGCCAGCUGGUGCCGCUCCUCCGCCAGGCCGGCGCCCUUUGGCUCUGA
This 315-nucleotide ribosomal RNA is filed under the name Triticum aestivum (bread wheat). RNAcentral describes it as "partial small subunit ribosomal RNA". Lineage: Eukaryota; Viridiplantae; Streptophyta; Magnoliopsida; Poales; Poaceae. The record is from RNAcentral.